GUAAAAUGGAGUUUUGCCUCUAUCCUGGGAGAUAAUUGAAUUACUUCCCAAUUAUCUCCAGGAUAGAGAGGAGGGUUCUUCACAGCUAAAGGGGAGUGUUUAUGCCUCUAAUACUGUGAUUGGUUACUUUGUCAUUUUUGUCAGUUUUCCACCAGGUCCCCUAGGUGAGUGUCCACCUGGUGGAAGACCUGCAUACCUAGCCACGUAAGACUGUAG
Non-coding RNA from Pelobates cultripes (western spadefoot toad), 216 nucleotides. NCBI's taxonomy places the organism in Eukaryota, Metazoa, Chordata, Amphibia, Anura, Pelobatidae. The record is from the annotation of a GenBank genome assembly.